This 406-nucleotide ribosomal RNA is filed under the name uncultured bacterium. RNAcentral describes it as "partial 16S ribosomal RNA". It matches the Rfam family "Bacterial small subunit ribosomal RNA", at positions 28 to 526 of the family's 1533-position model. The record is from RNAcentral.
GACGAACGCUGGCGGCGUGCUUAACACAUGCAAGUCGAACGAGUGGCGGACGGGUGAGUAAUGCUUGGGAAUCUGGCUUAUGGAGGGGGAUAACGACGGGAAACUGUCGCUAAUACCGCGUACCAUAGGAUGAGCCCAAGUGGGAUUAGGUAGUUGGUGGGGUAAUGGCCUACCAAGCCGACGAUCUCUAGCUGGUCUGAGAGGAUGAUCCGCCACACUGGGACUGAGACACGGCCCAGACUCCUACGGGAGGCAGCAGUGGGGAAUUUUGGACAAUGGGCGCAAGCCUGAUCCAGCCAUGCCGCGUGUCUGAAGAAGGCCUUCGGGUUGUAAAGGACUUUUGUCAGGGAAGCGGUACCUGAAGAAUAAGCACCGGCUAACUACGUGCCAGCAGCCGCGGUAAUUC